AGGAGGAGGUCUGCAGAUACACAUCACACAGAGAGCUGCAGCAGAGCGAGCUGCACCGUCUGCGUCCCGUCAGCAUCUCCAGUCGUGUCUAAGCUCCAGCAGGAUGAAGGGGCUGCAGCGGCUCAGCCUGCCUGGAGCGUGAGGAGCCUUCCUGGGCUCCGUCUGCCUGGUGCUCCCCCCUCCUCACCGCUCUGUGCGGAGCUCUGAUCCUCCAUCUGUCCCUCCGUCCGUCAGUCUGUCUGCAGCAUCUCUCCUGAAAACUGAAAACAUGGACGGACUGCGCCUGCCGCCCGUCAUCGAGGAGGUCCUCGAUCCAUCUGAGGAGCUGUGCGAGCUGAAGACGGAGAAGCCGAUCAUGUUGGCAGAAACUCUGACGGCUAAAGAGAGGGA
Plectropomus leopardus (leopard coralgrouper) is the source of this 390-nucleotide non-coding RNA. Lineage: Eukaryota; Metazoa; Chordata; Actinopteri; Perciformes; Serranidae. The record is from RefSeq and is a predicted model, not a curated record.